RNAcentral lists this ribosomal RNA (465 nucleotides) under uncultured bacterium. Its description in RNAcentral is "partial 16S ribosomal RNA". It matches the Rfam family "Bacterial small subunit ribosomal RNA", at positions 28 to 507 of the family's 1533-position model. The record is from RNAcentral.
GACGAACGCUGGCGGCGUGCUUAACACAUGCAAGUCGAACGGAAAGGCCCUGCUUGCAGGGUACUCGAGUGGCGAACGGGUGAGUAACACGUGGGUGAUCUGCCCUGCACUUCGGGAUAAGCCUGGGAAACUGGGUCUAAUACCGGAUAGGAGCCAUUUUUAGUGUGAUGGUUGGAAAGUUUUUUCGGUGUAGGAUGAGCUCGCGGCCUAUCAGCUUGUUGGUGGGGUAAUGGCCUACCAAGGCGGCGACGGGUAGCCGGCCUGAGAGGGUGGACGGCCACAUUGGGACUGGGAUACGGCCCAGACUCCUACGGGAGGCAGCAGUGGGGAAUAUUGCGCAAUGGGCGCAAGCCUGAUGCAGCGACGCCGCGUGGGGGAUGACGGCCUUCGGGUUGUAAACUCCUUUCGCUAGGGACGAAGCUUUUUGUGACGGUACCUAGAUAAGAAGCACCGGCUAACUACGUG